RNAcentral lists this transfer RNA (113 nucleotides) under Lepisosteus oculatus (spotted gar). It matches the Rfam family "tRNA". Rfam says of the family: Transfer RNA (tRNA) molecules are approximately 80 nucleotides in length. Their secondary structure includes four short double-helical elements and three loops (D, anti-codon, and T loops). The record is from Rfam by way of RNAcentral. Lineage: Eukaryota; Metazoa; Chordata; Actinopteri; Semionotiformes; Lepisosteidae.
GUCAGGAUGGCCGAGUGGUCUAAGGCUCCAGACUCGAGGACUGGUGUCUUUCCAGCUCGCCUGGGUGUUCUGGUCCCCAAAUGGAGGAGUGGGUUCAAAUCCCACUCCCGAUA